CCUACGGGUGGCAGCAGUGGGGAAUAUUGCACAAUGGGGGAAACCCUGAUGCAGCGACGCCGCGUGAGUGAAGAAGUAUCUCGGUACGUAAAGCUCUAUCAGCAGGGAAGAUAAUGACGGUACCUGACCAAGAAUCCCCGGCUAACCACGUGCCAGCAGCCGCGGUAAUACGUAGGGGGCAAGCGUUAUCCGGAUUUACUGGGUGUAAAGGGAGCGUAGACGGCAGGACAAGUCUGGAGUGAAAUCCCGGGGCUUAACCCCGGAACUGCUUUGGAAACGGUGCGGCUGGAGUGCAGGAGGGGUAAGCGGAAUUCCUAGUGUAGCGGUGAAAUGCGUAGAUAUUAGGAGGAACACCGAUUGCGAAGGCAGCUUACCAAGCUACUUCUGACGUUGAGGCACGAAAGCGUGGGGAGCAAACAGGAUUAGAUACCCGAGUAGUC
This 440-nucleotide ribosomal RNA is filed under the name uncultured bacterium. Its description in RNAcentral is "partial 16S ribosomal RNA". It matches the Rfam family "Bacterial small subunit ribosomal RNA", at positions 338 to 795 of the family's 1533-position model. The record is from RNAcentral.